GACGAACGCUGGCGGCGUGCUUAACACAUGCAAGUCGAACGGAAAGGCCCUGCUUUUGUGGGGUGCUCGAGUGGCGAACGGGUGUGUAACACGUGAGUAACCUGCCCUUGACUUUGGGAUAACUUCAGGAAACUGGGGCUAAUACCGGAUAGGAGCUCCUGCUGCAUGGUGGGGGUUGGAAAGUUUCGGCGGUUGGGGAUGGACUCGCGGCUUAUCAGCUUGUUGGUGGGGUAGUGGCUUACCAAGGCUUUGACGGGUAGCCGGCCUGGGAGGGUGACCGGCGACAUUGGGCCUGAGAUACGCACCAGACUCCUACGGGAGGCAGUAGUGGGGAAUAUUGCACAAUGGGCGGAAGCCUGAUGCAGCAACGCCGCGUGCGGGAUGACGGCCUUCGGGUUGUAAACCGCUUUCGCCUGUGACGAAGCGUGAGUGACGGUAAUGGGUAAAGAAGCACCGGCUAACUACGUG
RNAcentral lists this ribosomal RNA (468 nucleotides) under uncultured bacterium. RNAcentral describes it as "partial 16S ribosomal RNA". It matches the Rfam family "Bacterial small subunit ribosomal RNA", at positions 28 to 507 of the family's 1533-position model. The record is from RNAcentral.